Hydractinia symbiolongicarpus is the source of this 2467-nucleotide long non-coding RNA. RefSeq lists it as uncharacterized. Lineage: Eukaryota; Metazoa; Cnidaria; Hydrozoa; Anthoathecata; Hydractiniidae. The record is from RefSeq and is a predicted model, not a curated record. The transcript has 2 exons.
UGUCAGUCCGGCUUUUUUUACCUAUACAAAAGUGCGCACAUGCCCAUUGUUCUCAAAAUGAAAUCAAAACAACUACGUCACGCAGAAAGUAGUCUAUGCCAUUGCAAUAAACUUCCUUAAAAGGAUUGCUUUUGACAUCUCUGCUCCUAACGAUAACGUAGACCCAGAUAUAUUUUCUGAACCAAAUUUUGAUUUUUACCUUGGUUCAGUAAAUAGAAAAAGAGUUCAAAACGUGUCGAGCUUUUGUGCAGUGCGUAACGUGUAGCGUAACGUGAGGUGCAACGUGUGUGUAUUUUUCAGCUCUAGGCCACUGAGUAUAAGCUCUGAAAAACAACGGUGACAUGGAGACAUUUCCUUCUGAACUUAAAAAACAUUAAAACGUGUAAGCGCAUAAGGAUGCGCUUACACGUUUUAAUGUUUUUUACGUUUUAUAUAGCUACUGACAGAUUUAUUCACAUAAUUAGACAAACGUGUUGAUGUGGCUCUCUUAUACCUUGUUGAUUUGUCAUAAUUAUGUCUUUCAUAUCUUGUUUCUAUCAAAAUAGAUGAAUUUAUUUUUGUUUCUUUGACGCGCCUUUAUGACGUGUCCUAGCCUUUUAAGGGUGUAUCGUCUUAUGACUCAUCACAACUAAACUGACUCUACUAUAAGUGAUAAAGAAAUAAAGAUAAUAAUAAAUAAAGUUAUUUUCGUUUGAGGUACGUAUUAGAAAAUAACUACAAAACAUGUAUACGUUUAAAUUUGCGGCCAAAUUUUUUUUGAUGUCAUGUGAAAUUUACACGAACUUAAAUAUGUAAAUUCAAGAUGGUUGUCGGCCAUGUGGCAUAUGGUUUUGAAGCUGUGAUAGUCACACACUUGUUGUGGUUAAAUACAGUUCACCUUGAGUUUCAUAUGUCUUUUUAUUCUGUCCCUCGGGAAUUUCAGCGUUACUAUAAAUUUGCGCUGUCGUUUGAACUUUACUAUGAACGUAUUACCUGUACAACCUCAUACCGCGAUUUGAAGAUUAUAAGGUAACAUGUGCUUAGUAAGUAUUUUAUUAGAUUUGAAAAACUUGUAACAUAUUAAUUAUUCUACGUUAUGAUUCUUGUACAAUUAGAUUUUAACUGUAAGUUAUUGUUUAUAGCAAAUUUAUUAUCAAGAUGAAUCUGUAAACCAUCAAUCCUGUCUUUAUCCUAAGGUCAUACAUUACGUUACACACGUUACGUUACACACGUUACGUUACACACAUUACGUUACACACGUUAACGUUACACACGUUACGCUGUUACGCUCUGACAAAGAUACGUUAGUUCAUACUUGAAUUCUGAAACAAAACAAUUGCUCGUGUUGUCAUGCCAUAGUACAAACUAUUGUUCACCAACAUGGUGCAAUGCUAAUGACUCAUCUUUAAAUAAAGUGAAGAAAUUACAUUUUAACAUCUUGGGUAGAAAUACUCCAGAUCUGAACUCUCUAUUUAAUUUCAACUCAACUAUCCCCAAUAUUGCACCAGCAUAUUUGACUAAUAAACUAACAUUAAUUAAAUGCAAUCACUGUCUUCAAAUAAUUAUUUAUAUAAUUGCAAUUGGGAAUCCCCAAUAAAAAAUUUUAACCCUAUUUUCCUUUUUUUUAACUCAAUUGAAUAAUUCAGAAAGUGGCCCCCAGUGGAAAUAUUAUUCUGGGCAUUGCCACUAUAAAUACAUUAUUACAUUGUUGUUGUUGUUGUUGUUAGUUUGUCAGUUCCUGCGCAUAGUUAAUCAAAAUUUGAAAUACGGCGCGCUUAUUGGCUUUUAAUAAACAAUUAACAUCGCGCUAUGAUUGGUUAUUAGAUUUUAAUUUAUUUUCUCAAAGACGUCAACAAAUAUGGCGCAUUCUUGGAAGUAAAUUUUUAAUAUAUUUUUUUGUUUAUAGUAUAAAGUGUUUUUGUAAUCAAGCUUAAAGCUAAAAUCUUGUAAAAUUUGAAUAUUAUGCUUACCAAAUAGAUUCAGAAAGACGUAUUCUAGUCGAAUUUUAUUUUUGUAUUUAACCCUAUUUGAUAUGGGCUUUUUUGACCCUUGUAUGUAUGGGGGCGGAGGCAUAAAGUGCCCGUGGGCUGUAACUUUUGUUCAGUUUGGUUUUAAGUGAUGAAACUUGGCACAAAGAAGCAUCAAUAUAUUGUGACUUAAUUAGGGAGAAAAUAUUUGGGUUGACAUGUCAUCACAGGAAGUGAUGACGUCAUAUUGAGACAAUGGUCGAAAAAAAUAUGUCUUUUUGAAAAUUCUCGUUUUUUAUCUUUUUUAAAACUAUUUACAGUACUAGUCAUUAAAAAAACUGAUAUGUAAGAUAUUAUUAGGAACAUUUACAGGUGUGUUGAAGACAAAGGAUUUCUUUAGGGAGAAAAUGGAAAUCGGUCAGAAUUCAUUUUUUUUUUUUUUGAAAUAUCGAUAUUUGAGAACCUUGGUGUUAGUAGCUGUCAUAGAAUAAAACUUGGUUUAUUUUUUAUAAAUAUAUUUA